UUACGGAGAUUACGGAGCAAAUCUUCUGGUGUAUGAUGUGUGUGGCGCCGAAGUCGGGAUGGCGACCACGUUCCCCGGGUCCCGCAAGGGACUGGACACCGUUCCUGACAUGCAUGAUUUAUGUUUCAAAUACAGACGCUCGAUUUGGUGAUCCGCCAGCUUAGGGUAUCCACUCUGCUAUCUUGGAGCGCUCCCUUGUUCCGGAGCCUAUAUUUUGGUACAAACUCUUCCGUUGCAUAUAUGUACGCCUAUUCAAGGGUACGGCGGGGCCCUGUCCCGUCAUGUGAUUCUGUUGUUGCUCUUAGAGGUCUGUAGACAUGUAUGUGGGUUGUGUGUGGUUAUUGUCCAGCUAUGUCUGUGUGAUUUAUGUUUUGGGCGGAUCCAUUCGCCGUGGUAUCCUUAUUGGCUCGUAUAUGUAUAUUUUGGGAUGAUGUGUUUUAUGACAGCCUGGCCGGCUUCCGUGUGGAAGAUAUGUUUGUAUAUGACAGUUUGCGACGACGUCUGACCUUUGUAUCUGUAUAAGUCAUUUGUAUGCUGAUUUUAGUUAGUGUGUGUACGAGUGCCCAGCUCGGGCACUAGUCACGGCCUACGGGGUUGGGUCGUGACACCAGCCAUUGACUGUUUGGUCUGGAAGUGAGUAUUCAUUUACUUAAUCAUGUAAUGUACAUUCUUUUGCAUUAGAGCUAGCUUCUUCAAAAACAGAUCUUCAAUAUGGACAACUUGGUGCAGGAUAAGAAAAUUUCCGGGACAAACUGAGUUAACAUUGAGUGCUGAGGUUGAGUUAAUUUCGACAAUCACAGAGAAGAAGUCCUUGACUUGGUCGCUAAUUCAGAUGGAAUUUCAGAUUCCCAUGUUUACAGCAUCUGGUUUGCGUGUUCGGUUUCUUAAGGUGUGGGAGAAGAGUGGCUACAACACAGUUGAGUGGGUUCGUUAUAUCACUAAAGCUGGUUCGUACGAGAUAAGGUGCUAAGAUGAAAGAACUACUUGAGUUGAGGUUGUCUUCGAUUGAUAGCUGGUGUAAAAAUUAAUCUUUUUGAGGGAUGGAAUCAUACUAACACUUAUGCACCGGAUCCUGUCAGAACUUCAAAUGUGCGUGGGCAAGAAUAGUACUACGAUGGGUGACCCGCGGAGAGUUCUCAUGUUUCAUCUGUUACUGACCCCAACUAGUUUGGAAUUGAGGCGGAGCUUGAUUAUCUUUUUUAUUUGUUUUCCUUUUUUUUUUUUGUUGUUGUUGUUUUUUUUUUUUUUUGUUGUUGUUGUGAGUGAUUUGUGAGGACUGACAGAAGAGACCUUUAGUUAAUACUUGUCUAGUCCUUUUGCUUAUUGUUGUUGGUUUGUUUGAUAUAUUUUCCCACACAAAUUACUGUAUCUUUGUCUUGUUGGUUCCUGGAAAUGAAUUGGAAGCUAUUUAACCUUCUAUUAAUUGAAAUGUUUUCUUUUGGUUCUAUCAUAUGUGGAGUAAUGACAUAGAGUUUGAAAAAGUAGACUAAAUCGUGUAACACUUCCUUUUUUAAUUGUUGAAGUUGUUUAAUAUUUUAUGUAUUUGUAUUAGUUUGGUGAAUUGUUGGCAGCUAUUUGAGCUGGUUUUACUUGAGUAUAAAAUUGUUUUCAUCUUGACAGGUGGGCAGUU
This is a long non-coding RNA of Lycium barbarum (goji berry), 1630 nucleotides long. RefSeq lists it as uncharacterized. Lineage: Eukaryota; Viridiplantae; Streptophyta; Magnoliopsida; Solanales; Solanaceae. The record is from RefSeq and is a predicted model, not a curated record. The transcript is spliced from 4 exons.